CUCCGGUUGAUCCCGCCGGACCCGACUGCUAUCAGAGUGGGACUAAGCCAUGCGAGUCAACAUAGCAAUAUGUGGCAUACGGCUCAGUAACACGUAGUCAACAUGCCCAGGGGACGUGGAUAACCUCGGGAAACUGAGGAUAAACCGCGAUAGGUCAUCACUUCUGGAAUGGGUAAUGACUUAAAUCUAUAUGGCCCCUGGAUUGGACUGCGGCCGAUCAGGCUGUUGGUGAGGUAAUGGCCCACCAAACCUGUAACCGGUACGGGCUCUGAGAGGAGGAGCCCGGAGAUGGGCACUGAGACAAGGGCCCAGGCCCUAUGGGGCGCAGCAGGCGCGAAACCUCUGCAAUAGGCGAAAGCUUGACAGGGUUACUCUGAGUGAUUUCCGUUAAGGAGAUCUUUUGGCACCUCUAAAAAUGGUGCAGAAUAAGGGGUGGGCAAGUCUGGUGUCAGCCGCCGCGGUAAUACCAGCACCCCGAGUGGUCGGGACGUUUAUUGGGCCUAAAGCAUCCGUAGCCGGUUCUACAAGUCUUCCGUUAAAUCCACCUGCUUAACAGAUGGGCUGCGGAAGAUACUAUAGAGCUAGGAGGCGGGAGAGGCAAGCGGUACUCGAUGGGUAGGGGUAAAAUCCGUUGAUCCAUUGAAGACCACCAGUGGCGAAGGCGGCUUGCCAGAACGCGCUCGACGGUGAGGGAUGAAAGCUGGGGGAGCAAACCGGAUUAGAUACCCGGGUAGUCCCAGCUGUAAACGAUGCAGACUCGGUGAUGAGUUGGCUUAUUGCUAACUCAGUGCCGCAGGGAAGCCGUUAAGUUUGCCGCCUGGGGAGUACGGUCGCAAGACUGAAACUUAAAGGAAUGGCGGGGGAGCA
Molecule: ribosomal RNA, 867 nt
Filed under: uncultured archaeon
Lineage: Archaea
Description: bacterial SSU rRNA
Rfam family: Archaeal small subunit ribosomal RNA
Source: RNAcentral